This 71-nucleotide non-coding RNA is filed under the name Betaproteobacteria bacterium. RNAcentral's name for it is "SAH sequence". It matches the Rfam family "SAH (S-adenosyl-L-homocysteine) riboswitch aptamer". The record is from RNAcentral. Lineage: Bacteria; Pseudomonadati; Pseudomonadota; Betaproteobacteria.
CUUGCUGAGGAGCGCUGCAUCCCCUGCUCACCGGGGGUCAGGCUCAGCGAAAUAAACGGCGCUCGCAUCGA